GGGGGAUUUGGCAUCUUUUUAUUUUUAAAAGACCUUUUUCGGAAGGUAUGCUUAAAGAGGGGCUUGCGUCACAUUAGUUAGUUGGCAGGGUAAAGGCCUACCAAGACUAUGAUGUGUAGCUGGACUGAGAGGUUGAACAGCCACAUUGGGACUGAGACACGGCCCAAACUCCUACGGGAGGCAGCAGUAGGGAAUUUUCGGCAAUGGAGGAAACUCUGACCGAGCAACGCCGCGUGAACGAUGAAGUAUUUCGGUAUGUAAAGUUCUUUUAUUGAAGAAGAAAAAAUAGUGGAAAAACUAUCUUGACGAUAUUCAAUGAAUAAGCCCCGGCAAACUAUGUGCCAGCAGCCGCGGUAAUACAUAGGGGGCGAGCGUUAUCCGGAAUUAUUGGGCGUAAAGGGUGCGUAGGCGGUUUAAUAAGUCUAUAGUUUAAUUUCAGUGCUUAACACUGUCCUGCUAUAGAAACUAUUAGACUAGAGUGAGAUAGAGGCAAGUGGAAUUCCAUGUGUAGCGGUAAAAUGCGUAAAUAUAUGGAGGAACACCAGAGGCGUAGGCGGCUUGCUGGGUCUUUACUGACGCUGAGGCACGAAAGCGUGGGGAGCAAACAGGAUUAGAUACCCUGGUAGUCCACGCCGUAAACGAUGAGUACUAAGUGUCGGGAUUACUCGGUACUGAAGUUAACACAUUAAGUACUCCGCCUGAGUAGUACGUACGCAAGUAUGAAACUUAAAGGAAUUGACGGGACUCCGCACAAGCGGUGGAUCAUGUUGUUUAAUUCGAAGAUACACGAAAAACCUUACCAGGUCUUGACAUACUCUGCAAAGCUAUAGCAAUAUAGUGGAGGUUAUCAGAGAUACAGGUGGUGCAUGGUUGUCGUCAGCUCGUGUCGUGAGAUGUUAGGUUAAGUCCUAAAACGAGCGCAACCCUUGUCAUUAGUUGCCAGCAUGUCAUGAUGGGCACUUUAAUGAGACUGCCAAUGAAAAAUUGGAGGAAGGUGAGGAUCACGUCAAAUCAUCAUGCCCCUUAUGAUCUGGGCUACAAACGUGAUACAAUGGCUGUUACAAAGAGUAGCUGAAACGCAAGUUUAUAGCCAAUCUCAUAAAAGCAGUCUCAGUUCGGAUUGAAGUCUGCAACUCGACUUCAUGAAGUUGGAAUCGCUAGUAAUCGCGAAUCAGCAUGUCGCGUAAUUUAAUUUU
Molecule: ribosomal RNA, 1196 nt
Filed under: Candidatus Phytoplasma oryzae
Lineage: Bacteria; Bacillati; Mycoplasmatota; Mollicutes; Acholeplasmatales; Acholeplasmataceae
Also listed under: 2 other names
Description: bacterial SSU rRNA
Rfam family: Bacterial small subunit ribosomal RNA
Source: RNAcentral